RNAcentral lists this long non-coding RNA (1036 nucleotides) under Nicotiana benthamiana. RNAcentral describes it as "long non-coding RNA (NBEN_LNC013908)". Lineage: Eukaryota; Viridiplantae; Streptophyta; Magnoliopsida; Solanales; Solanaceae. The record is from RNAcentral.
AACUAUUAUGUUUUGGGUGAUCUCUCACACUUGUUCUUCUUGCAAAAGUAAUCUCAAAGUAAGUCUUCCCCUCUUGGGCGAAUGUCCUUGUUUAAUACAGAGUUUAGGGCUUAAAAUCCUGUGUUUUACACUUUGAUCCCUGGAGUUUACGCAUAUUGCCGCGAUCCAACCGCGGUUACGCCAGAACCGCGGCCAGAGUGGUCUUCAGAAUCUACAGUAGUGUUUUGCCGCGGUCUUUCCCCGCUUUACGCCCGAACAGCGGCAGACCAGCUUCAUUUCUGGUUUUUUCCCUUCGCUUGGUGCACUUUGUGAAUAUUUGUAUGUUUGGCCUCUUUUGCUCCUUAAUUGAUCCCAAAAGUACUCCGCAGACUUUUUGUAUUGGAUGUAGCCUGCAAAUCAUGAAAAACACUAAUCAGAGAAUUUGUUCAUUUUUUACCGUAAAAGCUAUAUAAAAAUGUGGUUCUUUAGAGCCUAACUAUAGUCUAAUUUACCUAUUAUAAACACCCCACACUUAAUCUUUGCUCGUCCUCGAGCAAGUUGAACCACACUUCUAGGCCUAAUCGUUUGAUGCAUUACCCUGUUUAUGUCACAUCCGCCAUAAUGAAAGAACAACCUAAGCAGUGCAACAACCACACCUUAGGUGAAGAUUCUAAUGCCAUGCCACACUCGUGCUUGCUCUAUGUACUCUAAACAGAGGUGAAGACUUGCUUUUUCUUCCUGAGUUAUAUGCCCUCACAUCACAUUUUUUUAGAGAAGUUCCACACACAUAAAGUCAAACAAUAAAGAACUAUAGAUAGAACGAAUUCACUCGCUCUCAUCAAAGAACAUUCACAUUCCACACAGAUACACCAUAAGCGUGCCCUUAGUGUAAUAUUCUACUAAUCGAGUUGUUCAGUCUAAGAUUAAUAGGUCUUUAUUUGGUUAUAAUGUAGGCUAAGGGACGGGUAUGAUAUAUUUGGAUAUAGUGACUAACUCCCUAAGUACUUAUAAUACAAUAGUUCCCCUUAUUCCAAUUUUCAUCAUCCGCCUAGUCAUU